GCUAAAAAUAAAGACAUCUGCGGAAGGAGUCACUCACCUCACGUGUGCACUUCAACGUGAUGUGGCAAUGCGGUUGGACGGCGUUUUCUAAAAUUAUGAGGAAAAAAAAAAAGUCAUCAUGAUGAUCUUCCUACUUGAAACCGACGAACUUGAAAUUACGCUGGGAUAAAGACGAAGGUACAUACUUUGGACGCAUAAUGCAGCUGAGGAUUACGUACACAUUGUUCAUAAUUUAACUGAACCGUAGGAUUUUACAGAUAUUCCAGAUAUUUUACUCGACAAGCAUUUCGCUUGCGAUGCAGAGGCAUGGCUCUUAAAGUGACAAAUUAUUGAGGGAUACAUUUGUCAAGGCCGAGAGGAGAGCAGGCGGUGUACCGAGAGGAAUCAUGAAAAUAGGUAGAGAUCGUAUUAGCUAGGUCAUGACCUACUUCCACACUCGCAUACGUCACACAGACGUUUUUUGGAUUUCGAGGAUUCCUACAAAGUUACAUCAAGGAUAUACAAGUAUUUUAUAUCUCCCUUCGCUUCUAUUUACUUUUUUUUUUUCCCCUAUCUGAUUUUACGUUUUCAUGCGUGAUAUAUAGAAUUACAUAUCGGUGAACACAUUUGUUAUAAUCCAAUUAAUCAAUUUUUGAUAAGAUUAUCUUUCAAAGUUCAUAAUAAAGAAAUUAUUAUUCCGUUAAAUCGGAAAGAACGAAUUUGAUAAUACGUCAUGCGCAUAGAUUUAAAUAUAAAAUAAAAUGAUAAUAUAUAAAUUAAGGAUUGUUGUGGUGGGAAAAAAAUCAUUUUUGAAGGACUCUUAAAAAAAGAAAAAAAAAAAAAAGAGAGAGAGAGAGAGAGAAAUACUUUUCUUUUAUAAGUUAGUAAUAAAAUUAUGUCGAAGUAACUUAUUAGAAGUGAGAAGAUCAAAACAUUGAACAAGCGUGGAAAACGUACAAACUAAGUGAUAAUGAUAAUGACAUUGAUUUAGAAUAUAUGCUUAUAUAUUU
Vespa velutina is the source of this 989-nucleotide long non-coding RNA. RefSeq lists it as uncharacterized. The transcript has 4 exons. The record is from RefSeq and is a predicted model, not a curated record. NCBI's taxonomy places the organism in Eukaryota, Metazoa, Arthropoda, Insecta, Hymenoptera, Vespidae.